Cyanistes caeruleus (blue tit) is the source of this 2442-nucleotide non-coding RNA. Lineage: Eukaryota; Metazoa; Chordata; Aves; Passeriformes; Paridae. The record is from RefSeq and is a predicted model, not a curated record.
UGGAAUGGGAUUCAACUCAUUUGUCUUCUUGUAGUGUACAAUAGGUUUGGCCUAGAGAACAGCAUGCUAAAUUGGACCUUGGAAAGCCUGCUCUGCCUUUGACCUGCUGGAUGAUCUUUGGCUUAAAUGUGUCUUUUUCUGACACAGAAGAUAGGGAUGAUGAUAGCGCCUCUUGUAAAGCACUUAGAAAGCAAAGAAGUCCCAUAUGGAAGACAUAUCAUGUUAUCACACACAAGAAACGUGAUUCUGCAGAACUGAAAAAUCCAAAGAUAAUGAAAAUUCAUAAAGAAUUGAUAAAAGAAGAGGAAGUAUUAGGGAUAUUCCUGAAGAAGCUGUAUCAGUAGGGGAGUUUCUAUUACAGAAGCACUUCAUAAUAAGAUAUCCUUCAAGCACUAGCAGUGAUAACCAUUUAAGCUUCCCACAAGUGCAUGGCAACAGGAGUCACAAAUUAUGAAGAGAACAAAAGCAUGACAGCAAAUAUCUUGCAGCUUUCUUCAUCACUACAGAAGAAGCCAGUGACAUGGACAGGCUGCUUUGCUCACAAUAUUGCAUCAGGAGGUAUGAAAAGGGAGGACAUGGCAUACUGCUUCCUCUUCCAAAAAAUGGCUUGUUUUACAAAUCAGUGACCAGAAACAGCAGUGAACACAAGAGGCAUGGAGCUCUGAAAGGUCACAGCUUAGAGGUGGGUGGAGGUACACCUGCAUGGAGAUCAUCAGUGAAGAACCCUCUGUGGCUACAACCCUACUCUGGGGAACACUAAGGAUUCUUUAAAAUGUGGUGCAUAAUAUUGCCUACAAUCAUUGUCACAAAUUAAAGUUUCCUUUCCUUCCAAAUUAAAGGCCUUCCACAGAAUUCAGGAUUCGGCCAUGAGAGAAGAGUCUCCUUUAGUAUCUACAGAUAUUGUAUAUGAAGUUUAAGCACUACUGUUUAUUGUGUUUUUUCACAUGUGUAAUUUAUCUGGAUUCUGCAGGUAGAUUUUUUUUUACAUUUGUCCUUUGGUGUUAAUGUAUUUUUUGUAGAAUAUGUGUAAAUAGAUAUGAGCAAACUGUGUAAAAGUUAUUCAGCUACCCAGUGAACCAUGUAAUCUGUUGAUUCAUAGAGACAACAGAUAAUAGAGUGAGAUAUUUGCUUUACACUGUCUGUAUAGUAUCUAGGCACAGAGUCAAUUUGUGUCCUGUCGGGGCAUGUUGUACCACACUAUAUUAUCACUUUGAGGAUAGGCAAUUUGGGUAAUGAAUAUGUGAGCUGGUGGGGGUGGAGAAGUAUCUCUGAUAUUAUCUAUAAAGUGGAAAUGUUGAUCCAAGGUUUUGGCUUCAUCCUGGUUAAUACAAAGCACUAAUACCACAGACAAGCUCUUUUGCUAUCUUGGAAACAGUAUUGUUAAUUAGCUUCUACCUUCACCUCUAUCAUAUCAUAAAAAUGAAAACAAUGUACUAAACACUGACAUUUUCUUUGUACAGCAGGUAUGAGUAAAAAUGCCAUCCCUGUGGGAAAACACAAAAAUUAAAUGGGAGUAAAUGAGCAUUUUGAGAGCAGUUGAAAGAAAAUAGUUACUAUUUGUUAUGCUUGAUCCAAGGAUCCAUUUGACCAGGUUGUGGUUAUCCUCAGCUACUGCAACAGCCCAUCACUGUACCUCUGUUCCAGCCGCUCCCAACAGCCCUGGGGUAGACAUCUGUGCAAAUGAGCAGGAGGUGCAGUGUAAUGACAAAUAGGCCACCCUCUAUCCACUCUCCAGAAUAUUCUUCAUAGCAUCAGAUUUUUGUUUUCUUGUUAAUCCUUCUCUUAACAGAUGAUCUUGCAAGCUGUUGACAUUGGCGUGACUUUUCCAGGAAAGUACCCCCAGAUUCCUGACAGGUAUUUACGAAAGGGAAUUUGUGAAAAAGAGAUGUUCCAGAGCUGAACUUCUUCCUCUGCACCAAACAUCUCCCCUGAUAUGCUGACAGUAUGUUGUGCAAUGCAGGAAAGCUGUACCUAGGUUCUAUGUCAAGUGUCAGAAUGGGUUUAACUGUGUUGCUCCAGACCUCUGCCCACAAUAAUUUGCACUUUUAGUACAGAAAUGCAGGUUAAUAGACUUAAAUUGCUUCUCUCUAGAACCAGCACAACUGAACUUGUUUGAAGAUGGCUCCAAUAUUGCAAUGCAGUCAGGGUAACAGGUGAGUUUCACAGUCAAAUAUACAGGUGAUCCAAAUAAAUCCACUAAACUGUAUCCUGUGUAAUGGCAGUAGCUAGACUCUGUCAAGCUGAAAUUAGCUCCAUCCAUUAGCUUUUCCUCAUUUUCUGAUCCUGCCAUCAUCACCUGGAGUCAUUGCUGAGAUUUGAAGCCUGCUGAGGAGAGGGGGAACGAGCUAUCCACCCACACUGUGGGUGACUGUCACAUCAAGGAAAUCUCCAUACAUCAGAUAUGAAGCCAAACAGCAAAGGCUUAAAAAUGGAAAAGCUGGG